Canis lupus familiaris (dog) is the source of this 6123-nucleotide long non-coding RNA. RefSeq lists it as uncharacterized. The transcript has 3 exons. Lineage: Eukaryota; Metazoa; Chordata; Mammalia; Carnivora; Canidae. The record is from RefSeq and is a predicted model, not a curated record.
AUGAAUCAUUCAGUAAAAUAUUCAAGUAAUCAAAAAAUGCUUUCAAUUCCUUAAAUUUAAUUGCUGAUAUUAACUUGAUGCCUUUGAAAAUAUGUUUGGAAAAGUAAAGGAACACAAUUAAUUUUAGAACUAGAAAUCAAAUAGAGGUAAAAAGUUUAGAAACAGUGCAGUGUUUCCCAACUUUUAAUCAUUUUUAACCACUCUCACAAUUUUUGGCAUAUCUAUAUAACACUUAAAGCAAUAUUUACCUAAUCAUUUUACUUCACUUCAUUCCAUUUCUACUUAAAUAUGUUUAAUUUUCCCAAACCAGCAUUAUGGUUUUGCCUACCAUAAAUAUUACACUCAACACAUAAUAUUAUUUUCUGUCUACUUAAGUAAGAAAUAUACUUAAGUUUGCUAUCUAAAGUCAUCUCACAUAACCCACAUACCACACUUUGGUUAAUAAUUGAUGUAGCAUUGCAGUAUAUAAUAUUCUUCCAGUAUUUGGGGCCUAAGUAAAUACAGAAGUCUACUAUACUUAAAAAUCUCAUUGUGGAAAAAAAAAAAAAUCUCAUUGUGGCAAAAGUGUGUCCAUACCCUGACCACCCAAUAUUAGUGGUAAUACUGAGUAUGUCUCUUUUUUCAGCUAUUGAACAAACCAAUAAAACUUAGAACACGUUUUAUACUGAAGUACAACUUGAAACACUAUGCGACAUAUAUUGUUAUUGAUAAGGUUAACUUCACUAUCUAAAUAAGUUGCUCUGGCUUCACAUUCACCAUAGUUAAAGAGAUAAAGAUAAAUGGCAAGAGCCAACAAUGAAUUGAGUCUCUAAAAUUUACUAUGUUCAGUGGCAAAUAUGUUAUUUAAAAAAUAUUUUUGAUGGGUCUGACUUUUCAGGAAUGCUUUAAUUUGUUCAAAACAAUUGAAUAACAUACUUCACAAGUAUCUUUGUGGUAAGAAAGUAGUUGUCAUCAUGACUGAACAACAUUUUAGGUUUGGGAGAUUAUGUUUUUGCAUAUCUGUAACUUGAUAAUUUGCAAGCAAGAACUCUCAAAAAUUCAAAUUCCAUUUAUUGGGUAAUAAAUAAUAAGAAAGAUUGUUUUACAAAAUUCACCCUUUUCAAUGACUAUGACAUUAGUCUAUAGUAAGAGCAGUGAAUUCAGAUUGGAGACCAAGUAUUUACGACAGUAUUUUUCUAUCCAAUAUCUAUGUGGUUAUGGACCAAAAUAUUUGCUGGAGUAAAGCUUCAGUCUUGUGCAAGCCUUAGAUCAAAAUGUGCUUGGUAAGCUGGGACACUGUACAUGCUUUUUUUUUUUUUUUUUUUUUUGUACAUGCUUUUGGACUAAAGCUGAGUAAUGAAACCUGCAUACUGCAUGAUCCCACUCCAGUUGUUCAGAGUAGAGCAGUGAGUCCUAACAUGACCAUGUGGGCCAAGUCUAUGCACAAAAGUCCCUGUGUGUUCCAUCAACCCCAUGCUUUCCCAGAGUAUUGAAAGGGAUCUGUUCAGGCCACCUUUGGAGAUGUAUUCCUCUUCUAUUGCUGUGUAACAGAUCACCACAAAUUUAGCAGUAAUAACAACAUCCAUUUAUUAGCUCACAUUCCUCUAGGUCAGAAGUCCAGGCACAGCAUGGCUGGAUUCUACUCAGGCUAAAAUCAGAGCUUUAGCUAGUCAUGUUCUCAUGUGGAGUUCGAGUCCUUCUUCCUAGCUCAUCCUUGGUUAUUGACAGAACUCAUUGCUUUGCUAUUGUAGGACUCACAUCCCUGCUUGCCUGCUGUCAGUUGAGAACAGUUCUUUUUUUUUUUUUUUUUUUAAGAUUUUAUUUGUUUAUUCAUAAGAGAAACCAAGAGAGUGAGGCAGAGACAUAGGCAGAGGGAGAAGCAGUCUCCAUGCAGGGAGCUGGAUGUGGGACUUGAUCCCGGAACUCUGGGAUCAUGCCCUGGGUCAAAGGUAGACACUCAACCACCUGCAGAGAGCAGUACUAAACUCGUACAGGCUGCUCAGUUCCUGAGCAUGAAUUUCUGCCUGGCACCCCAUCUCAGCAAUGGAGAACUGCCCUUCCAAUCUCUCCACUUUCUCCUCUGUGAACAGCCAUAGAAACCUCUACUUUUAAAAGGCUCCGAUGAUUGGAUCAGGCCUACCAAGGUAAUCUCUUCAUCUCAAGGUUAAUAGUGUCAUAUGCCAUAACCUAAUCACAGGAAUAAACCACAUUAAAUUUGCAGUCUUGGAGACCUUGCAGGAUGUGUACACCAGAGACAGAAUAUUGGGAAGAUCUUAUAAUCCUGCCUACCACAGAGGCUUUUGUCACUUUCACUUGACACAUUUCUUUGGCUUGUAUCUUCACACUCAAGACAUUUUUUCUUUCCCCAAAAGGAAUUCAGGAAAACUAAAAUUGUCACUAAAUUAGUCUACAUGAAAUAAAAUAUACAUAAAAGAUGUGUAUUCCUCAGCUUUCAAACAGGUUUCAAGGUGACACCAAAUAAGCUUGGAUGCUGUUCAUCAUUCUCAAUGCAAAUGUAGCUUCAACUAAACCAUCACUUUAUGGUGAAAUAUUUUUGUGACACUAUAGUAGCUGACAAUAUGGUUUAUGUUCAUAAGGACAUUGUGUUAAUUCAGUAUGAUUUUCUAACUAAUGUCAAACCUACUGUGUAAGCAAAUAACAGAUUUAUUUCAGUACUAAUACUAGUUUAUUCAUGAUGGUUUUUUUCCUACAAAUUAAAUGUAUUUUGGGGGCUCUGUAAGACUAGUAUGCAAAUAUUGAAAAUUUUAAGUAAUCAUUGGUGAUUUGGUUGUGUUCACUAAUCCUGAAACACCCUAACUCCUCCUCCAUGUUUGAUUAUUAAUUGGAUUCCUACAGUAUUAAUUCUCAACCAAAAGCUUUGAUUUAUCUAAGUAUAGAUGAAAAGGCAUUUAUGAAAAACACAAAUCUGAUUUGGAGGUGCUCACUAAAACAAAAUUUAUUACUAAAUAUCAAAUGGUAGUUUUCGAAGCAGGAUAAAGACCAAUGAUAAAAAAUAAAAUAGGCAAUGCAUAGUGUGAUGUAGUGGAAAGAAAUAAAGAGUCAGACACUGGAUAAGCUACUUAAUUAACUUAUCUGAGUCUCAGUUUUUUCACUAUAAGAGCAGAGUGAUCCUCCAACUUUAUUGAAUUGUAAGAAUUGAAUGAUUUAUAAAAUCUAUCACCAGUAAUAAAUGUUCAGUAAACACUUUUCUCUGUACAUGAAUAGCUAAUUUAAUAAAUCAGCCUAUUUUAAUAAACCUUAAAAUGAGAGAAGUCACAAUUUAGAGAACACUCCAGACUUGAUUCAAUUUGUAAAAAUUAGUAGAUUCAGUUGCUAUAACUUAAAUAGAAUAACAAUAGUUUAAAAUAAUACUAAAGUACUUUUAAGAAUUUAAAAAAGGAUAUUUAACAGUGGAAUUAGUUAGAUAAUUGAAUUGUUGUGAGAUAUGAAAUGAAUGAUAUGUCAACCCAGAGAUGAGCAAAAGCAGGGCAUACCAUCUCCCUACACCAGGAAAAUAAAGAAAGAAUGAAGUGUCAUUGAAUUCCAGGGAAUGGAAUUAUGAAGGAAGUGCAGCCAGAGAUGCCACACAAGGCACAGUGAGAAAUAGUCUGGUUUCUUCCUUCUAACAAAAGGCAGAUCACAUGGAAACACGGGAAAGAGCUCACGAAGUUUGAGAAGAACAAGAGGGUAAUAAGCAUAUCUGAAGGUAAGCAGGCCAUGGACUAGCAUUUUAACUGGUGAAAGUAAGAGAAAUGUAAUUGACCAGCAACUCAGAUUUUAGGUAAUUUGAGAGAAGCCUAGAUCCUGAAAAUACUGUGAUGAUUGUGUUUUCUCAGAGCUUCAGAACCACUGCUAACAAAAAGAGAGCUGUUAAAAGAUAGAGACUUAUCCCCUAAAUUCCUUUCAGUGAGUGACCACAAAAAUAAUGGACCUGUCCAAAUAUUCUUUCAAGGCAAGGGAGAUGACCUGAACUGAGUAAGUUUUGAAGCUGAGGUAAGGGGCAAAACUUAAUUGUCCCUGUGAUCAGAAUCCUUAUGCUUGUUCAACAUACUCAGUUUAUACCAAUAGGGUAAAGGGUGUAAAGGGUGUGUUUUUCUGAGAUAGACAAUGGAUAGAUCUCCACUUCUACUAUUCUAUUACUGAUAAGAGAAUUCCAUUUCCUUGCAGUGUUUGACCCGAGUCCAUGGAACUCUACUUUCAUAGAUCCAGCUUUCUGUUGGGAUUACUAAUCUGUGGGUGGCCAGUUUUUCUACAGUGUGGAAAGACAGAGAGAGUGAGAGCAAUUGAGCACAACUGAGCUUACUUCACUAUAUCAUUCUAAUCCCAGAUCCAGCUUUCCCAUGAAAAAUAUCAUUUAUUAAGGCAAUUAAACUUCAAUUUUUACUUAAGUAGUUUGAGUUGUCUCUUGCAACACAGUUUUGGCCAACACCUGUAUUAUAUUUGAAGAGGAACCAAAAUAAGCCUCAUUAUCUAUAGUAUGUCUGUAAAACAAUGCUUCUUAGUCUUUAUGAGUCUUGUAUCCUUUGAAAUGUAAUGAAAUACAAGGAUUUCCCAUAUUUACACAUUAGCACAAUUAACUAUAUUAGAAUUUGAUUUUCUUCACAUAGAUGACAAAGCAACAUUUAUAAAGAAUUAUAUCUUCCUUACAUUUUUUCAAAUAUUGAAAAAUUUGUGUCUGUAUAUUUGUUUAGAGUGAAAAUUUUAGGACUCUGUUAUUUUCAUCCAUAGCCUGCAGAAUUUUCUCUAGCACUAGACCAUCUAAAAGGUUGUCUGCUUUCAGUAUCUCUUUCCAGAGUGGCAACUUAUACCUAACAAUAAGAGGGUUUUUUUCCAUCAGUUUCUACAAUGUCAUGUCAAGGCCUCCAAUCAAAGAUUUUACCUUAUUCUUGUGGCUGAAAAUAAUGGCCAAGUGACCCAAUUCAUGAGUCAACUCUUUCCUGUCAAACUGAACUGGAAUUUGGGUUGGUUAUAUCCUCCUAAUAGUAAAGCUUCUACAAAAGGUUCAUUUAAGUAUGUGAAGACUUGUCUUUUGGAAAAUCAGCAAUUAUAUAUUAUAUGCCUUGUUAUGACAAAACCUCUUGAAAGGUAGCAAUUCAAGUCCCCAUUUUAGUUGUCAACUGAUCUCAAACAUGCCAAUGUAGAAAGCUAUGAUCUUGCAUCCUGGUGAUGUUUGGCACUUCUUCACUCACCCACAAAACCAGAUGAGUUCCAACUACAUGUGCUUAUCUCUGCUUGGAGUAGCAGGAUGUUUUUUCUAGUUGAAUUUUCUUUGGCAAAAUCAUUAAUUUGUAGAUAAUGAUACCAAAUUGGUAAUUCUUUUUUGAUGAUAUCUGUGAAUGCCAUGUACAAAAACCAGGAGCUGCCUGGUUUCAUUCUAUUAUAAGUUGAAGGAAAAAUAACAAUAAUUAAUUAAAUUUAAAUUUAUCCAAAUAAAUAUUGGUAUUAGAACUUAUUGUGAUUAUGCUUAAGUAGAUAUAUACAGAGUGAUGACUAAAUUUGACUAAAUCAUUUUAAUAGCAUUAUCUAAUAACUGGUCUUGAGGACAAUGUUUUUUUUUUUUUUAAAUUUUAUUUAUUUAUUCAUGAGAGACACAGAGAGAGAGAGGCAGAGACACAGGCAGAGGGAGAAGCAGGCUCCAUGCAGGGAGCCCUACAUGGGACUUGAUCCUGGGACUCCAGGAUCAUGGCCUGGACUGAAGGCAGGUGCUAAACUGCUGAACCACCCAGGGAUCCCUGAGGAUGAUGGUUUUAAAUCAGCCUCAGGCAGAAGACAUGGACAUCCUUAUUCAUCAGAUCAAGCAAGCCUGGAAAACUUUCCACCAAACCAGUGCGGGUUCUCCAGAACUCUGGUGGGAGCCAAGAGGGUCCAUCAGGCCUCAGGGGCCAUAGAAUGAGGGCAUCUGUCCUCAGGAAAACUGAUAAUUGUGAUAACUUUCAUUAGCCACACUCUGGCAUGCAAGAAGGCCCUGAAGAACCAAAGUAUUCAUACUAUUCCAGAGUUACAGCUAAAUUUUUAAAAUUCUAAAAAUAUUCUCAAACUCAUAAGUGUGUUUUUAAAAAUAUAUAUAAUCUGCUUUAUUCUGUUACAGAAAAAGAUAUAUUGUUAUUUACUGACUCCUGACAAUUAAAAUUUUCAACAGCUUAA